UUAAAGUUGUUGUAGUUAAAAAGCUCGUAGUUGAACCUUGGGCCUGGCUGGCCGGUCCGCCUCACCGCGUGUACUGGUCCGGCCGGGCCUUUCCUUCUGGGGAGCCGCAUGCCCUUCACUGGGCGUGUCGGGGAACCAGGACUUUUACUUUGAAAAAAUUAGAGUGUUCAAAGCAGGCCUUUGCUCGAAUACAUUAGCAUGGAAUAAUA
This 209-nucleotide ribosomal RNA is filed under the name uncultured eukaryote. RNAcentral describes it as "partial 18S ribosomal RNA". It matches the Rfam family "Eukaryotic small subunit ribosomal RNA", at positions 604 to 819 of the family's 1831-position model. The record is from RNAcentral.